ACUGAGGGUGUCACCCGGGACCGCGGCUCAGCUGAUGGAAUUUGAGAAAUGGCAGGUGUGAGGACUCUGACCUUCCCAUGAAGCAGGUCAUAAGACCCUCAUGUGAGAGAUGCCCUCUCUAUACCUGGAGAAAAGAAGCAGUCUUAUUUGUGAAGACAGAGAGACGCCAAGAGGAAUCUAAAUGAAUAGGCCUUGGAACCCCAGACGCACGGGCCUUGUGCUGUCGCUGCCGUGGCACCCCUUCUAGAAGGACUCUAUUCUCUAUAACAGAAGUGGGAGCCUUGGACAACUGAACGCCUAUCUCUAGCUCAAGAAAUGUCAGCUCUUUUUUUUUUUUUGAGACUGUCACCCAGUCGGGAGUACAGUGGCGCCAUCUUGGCUCUCUGUAACCUCCACCUCCUGGGUUCAAGCGAUUCUCCUGCCUCAGCCUCCUGAGUAGCUGGGGCUACAGGUAUGCACCAUCACUCCUGGCUAAUUGUUGUAUUUUUAGUAGAUAAUGGGGUUUCACCAUGUUGGCCAGGGUGGUCUCAAACUCCUGACCUCAGGUGAUCUGCCUGCCUCGGCCUCCCAAAGUGCUGGGAUUACAGACGUGAGCCACCAUGCCCAGCCAAGAAAUGUCAAUUCUUUAUCGUAGCCUGGCUUUCCAUAUUUCUCACUAGGGUUUUUAUUCUCUAGUUUGUAAAUCACAUUUGGCGUUUGUAGAUCACUCCUUCCCUUUUAGUGGCAUUCUCUAUUAGGUGUCCAUCUCCCAAUAUGAAGAAACAGUUUUCUGCUUUUUCCUCCUUUAUCUGAUCCAUUUACAGAUUUAUUACAUUUAUAAUAGGCUAGGUAUUGGGGAUACAAAAAUGAAUAAGAUAUGGUCUGUUUUCAAAGGUAUGCAGAAACUUUUCUAUAUAUUCCUACUGACUUGUAUUUGUAUUUCUUGAAUUAAAAACAAUCCUGGCUGUGUUUUUUUUUUUUUUUUUUUGCUCUUAGUGAAUCUUUGUUUCUUCUUUUCAUUAUGGCAUUCCAGUUGAGUUUCACCACGCAUUAUCAUGAGAAUAAAUAAUUUCACUGACUUUAAUAAUA
Molecule: long non-coding RNA, 1068 nt
Filed under: Homo sapiens (human)
Lineage: Eukaryota; Metazoa; Chordata; Mammalia; Primates; Hominidae
Description: SEC24B antisense RNA 1
Source: RNAcentral